GCCGCUUUAGCUCAGUGGUAGAGCAGCUCAUUCGUAAUGAGCGGGUCAUCGGUUCAAAUCCGAUAAGCGGCU
This 72-nucleotide transfer RNA is filed under the name Methylacidiphilales bacterium. Its description in RNAcentral is "Candidatus Methylacidiphilales bacterium tRNA-Thr". It matches the Rfam family "tRNA". Rfam says of the family: Transfer RNA (tRNA) molecules are approximately 80 nucleotides in length. Their secondary structure includes four short double-helical elements and three loops (D, anti-codon, and T loops). Further hydrogen bonds mediate the characteristic L-shaped molecular structure. tRNAs have two regions of fundamental functional importance: the anti-codon, which is responsible for specific mRNA codon recognition, and the 3' end, to which the tRNAs corresponding amino acid is attached (by aminoacyl-tRNA synthetases). tRNAs cope with the degeneracy of the genetic code in two manners: having more than one tRNA (with a specific anti-codon) for a particular amino acid; and 'wobble' base-pairing, i.e. permitting non-standard base-pairing at the 3rd anti-codon position. Lineage: Bacteria; Pseudomonadati; Verrucomicrobiota; Methylacidiphilae; Methylacidiphilales. The record is from RNAcentral. RNAcentral also lists the same sequence under 1 other name.